GAUGAACGCUAGCUACAGGCUUAACACAUGCAAGUCGAGGGGCAGCGGAGGAGUUAGCUUGCUAACUUCAGACGGCGACCGGCGCACGGGUGAGUAACACGUAUCCAACCUGGCCGUUACUCGGGAAUAGCCUUCCGAAAGGAAGAUUAAUGCUCGAUGGUAUAUAUUUAUCGCAUGAUUUCUAUAUUAAAGAUUUAUCGGUAGCGGAUGGGGAUGCGUUCCAUUAGAUAGUUGGCGGGGUAACGGCCCACCAAGUCUUCGAUGGAUAGGGGUUCUGAGAGGAAGGUCCCCCACACUGGAACUGAGACACGGUCCAG
This 317-nucleotide ribosomal RNA is filed under the name uncultured bacterium. RNAcentral describes it as "bacterial SSU rRNA". It matches the Rfam family "Bacterial small subunit ribosomal RNA", at positions 28 to 334 of the family's 1533-position model. The record is from RNAcentral.